CUUUGAUAGCUUAUUUAGAGUGUAAUAUUGAAGAUGUUACGGAGAUUAUUUUAUCUUAAAGUA
RNAcentral lists this transfer RNA (63 nucleotides) under Lycoprogenthes sp. 'Protaphes' UPOL A00573. RNAcentral describes it as "tRNA-Phe". The record is from RNAcentral. Lineage: Eukaryota; Metazoa; Arthropoda; Insecta; Coleoptera; Lycidae.